RNAcentral lists this ribosomal RNA (274 nucleotides) under uncultured bacterium. RNAcentral's name for it is "partial 16S ribosomal RNA". It matches the Rfam family "Bacterial small subunit ribosomal RNA", at positions 523 to 796 of the family's 1533-position model. The record is from RNAcentral.
AUACAGAGGUCUCAAGCGUUGCGCGGAAUUACAGGGCUUAAAGGGUGCGUAGGCGGACCAGCAAGUGUCUUGUGAAAGCCCACGGCUUAACCGUGGAAUUGCUCGGCAGACUGCACGCCUUGAGGUCGGCAGAGGCUGCCGGAACUCUAGGUGUAGCGGUGAAAUGCGUAGAUAUCUAGAGGAACGCCAAAGGUGAAGACAGGCAGCUGGGCCGAAUCUGACGCUGAGGCACGAAAGCGUGGGUAGCGAACGGGAUUAGAUACCCGGGUAGUCC